Molecule: long non-coding RNA, 530 nt
Organism: Uranotaenia lowii
Lineage: Eukaryota; Metazoa; Arthropoda; Insecta; Diptera; Culicidae
Exons: 3
Source: RefSeq, a predicted model, not a curated record
UAACUUGUUUCCUUCCACAUAGACGAUCCAUGAAAUUCACGUAAAGUCUAUGUUGAUGAUUUGAAAUCCGUUUUGAGCUUUUUUAACGAUCGUGUAGCUCGCGAUUCUUAUAAGAAGAAAAACGACCCACGGCUGCAGCACUGGGCCAUUCCGAAGUCUUUGUUUACUUGUGUCACCACAAACUGUUUCGUUAAUCGGAACAUUCUAAAUCGGGAUGGAUUGGACCGUAAAGGCCGUAAUUUAUCUCACAGCAGCAGUAUGCAGUCAAGAUGCCUUCCACAAUCCUGCAGCGGCUGGAGGACCAAGGCAUUCAGGGCUUUCCAUGGGAGGUCGGAGGUGGCAAAACUGGUGAUCCUUAGAUGCGUCUACCGGCACAGCAAAACAAUUGCUUCGAUUUAGCAGCAGCAGUGGAAACGGAUUCAAUAUGGCAACUUGCAGUCUCUGGUGAAAUAUUCCGCGACCAGUACCUCGUAACAACAACGACCCAUGCCUCGGUCACAGAAAGACGUUAUUUUAUUUUAUCAUUAUAG